CAUAGAACAGAUAUAUCGCUUCUUAGACUUGCUUUCAAUGAGAUUACUAUCUGAAUUUGGUCAGGUCGCCCAAAAAGUUACAUAUAGGAUUCUUUCACGCUUCCGGGUUUGUAGAAAGGAAGUUCAGCAAAGCGGCGUUGCUUAUGUUCCGGUUACUAGCAACAGCACAGAGUUAGCAAGCUAGCAUAAUGGCUGCACAGUCCUCUCGCCAAUGACACUAGUGUCCCAGCAACAAACAAAAACACCCAUACUUCAGGUUUCACAACUUCACAAAGGAUGCGACUGUACGUGACAGCUGUGUGAGCAAAUACAAAUCGUCUGAAUUUUAACGCGGCCAACAUCAACAUAACACAAAAAGGCCGUUCUCGCAUUAAAUCUGAAAGUUCCCUGUCGGUUCUCUGGAACGACUGGGGGAAGAGCCUGCAGUCUCGGUCUCUCCCUGACACAGCAAGUGCGCGACUGGGAACAGCAAGUGGAUGUCUCCGAUAUGGACACAAGUGUUGGUACCUCUGAAGUGACUGCAGCAUGGACCAUGACUGCCUGCCCUCCCUGAGCUACAAGUCCAACAGCGCUCUGUUCACCAGCUGCAAAGAUUCUGUGCAUCUGAUGACAACUCUAUACCCGGUCCCACUCAGGUCUUCAUGGUGUUCUGGGAAUCCAUUGUCCCCUCUGCCUCCAGGUUAAUCUACUAGUCCAAGGCCCAGAAGGCUGGAAUGGGAAGCACAACACCAAGGCCCAACAGGAAGCUGCCGCUCAUUGACAAGUUUUUUCUUUACUGCUGUCGAGUAGCUGCUGGGCUGAAGGAGGUGUUGGCGGACAUAUUUUGCUUGAGUGUCCGAACAGUAAGCUGCAUUAUAAUAAACUGGACCAACUACCUGUAUCUUGUCUUGGGCUCUGUACCCAUUUGGAUGUCCAGAGAGCAGGUGCAGGCAAGAACGCCUGACAAGUUCAAAGUUGUUAUCCUGGACUGCACAAAGCUGAGAUGUGCCAACCCCUCCUCUCUGACAGUCGGAGACCUUUUCAUCUUACAAAAAAACACACCACCUUUAAGGGCCUGAUUGGGAUUGCACCUUGUGGAGCCAUCAUCUUUGUAUCCAGGUUUUCACUGGGUCCAUCUCUGAUCAGGAGAUCAGAGCUAGCUCCAAUACAACCAGCCUGAAAGAAUUACUAGUAGAAACUACAGUCAUUUUCACUAUUUUUAGGAAUCCUUGUAAGUAUUAGCUAGGUAGCUAGGUUCGCCUAUUGAAAUUGAACUUCAGUUCAUGAAAUUAAAAUAGCUAGCUAGCUACUUAACCCUGUUGCCCAAAACUAAUGUUAUAAGCAGCCAGAUAGCUUCAUCUGGCUAGUGAGGCUCGGAUCGGGUUGUGUUGUGAAGCUAGAUUAGGCACAAUAGUGGAAUUUGCCGUUUUCCUUCAAAAUAAAAGGUACAGUCUUUGAAGUGAUGCAGGUUACAAUUGGUGGAAUCAUGCCAUAUAUAGACUAGAUAAUGUUAAACAAGGUUGGAAUGUGAAGCAAUGAAAUUGUGUAUCAGUCUCAGUGACACCCACAGAACACAACUGUGAAGAGUUUACGCAAAUAUUAGCGUUGUAGCUCUUAUCGCGGGACUAUGACUGUGUGAAAUCUCCCAAGUCAGCCUAUUGUGUGUAUUGACAUUCAUAUUGCACUGUAACAGCUUUACCUAAGGAUUGGGGAUCAAUGAAAUGGUGUAUCAGUCUACUCAAUACCCAAUAUUUUUUCGCUAAAUCCUCAGUUAUCAGACUCAAACAUCUACGCAGUAUUGCAUUUCCUCUGGAAUAGUUGACAAUAAUUGUGGCUCAAUUCACAGUCCCUCAAUAAGAGCUACAAUGCUAAUGUUCUCUGGGUGUCAUUUAUCCACAAUCCAUAGGUAAAGCUGUACAGUGAAAUAAGUAUGCCCCCAAUGCAUUUCUAAAGUAUAAUACAUCCAGUGUGAUUAACGUCAAAUUGUCUUCUGUUGAUUUUAUAUAACAUUCCAACCUCGUUUAGCACGAUCUAUCCAAUUAUGGCAUAUUUCUAGUCAUUUGCAUCACUGUCAAUUACACUUUUAUUUUGAAGGCUAACCGCAAAGUCCACAAUUGUGGCUAAUCCUUAGUGUGGCUAGCUUCACAUAGCUGGGUCCGACCACCAUUAAUCAAAUAAAAACGGUCUUAUUAAUUAAGGUUAUUUUAGAUGACACCUCACUAUAUAGUUAGCUAACUAUAGCUACUGAAACAGAUUGUCGUUUUGCUAUGUCUUUGGGGAAGAACAUUGUUUGCUUCCAUGAGCUAGCUAGCUUUUUUUUUAAUGACCGGCACUGUAGGUGCGCGAGACUACUUUACCAGCAUCAAAUCCUACGUAUCGAUGAAUCCUUGUGACAUAUAAAAUACGAGUGUAAUAACCACGUAAAAAAUGUAUGAACGCAUUAGUUGUGACCUGCAGUCAUAUUCAGGUCCUGAUUGGUCAACAAGCUUAUUUGACGUGUAUCUUUUUUGACAUGCCAAGACCCAAACGGCGUUCCAUAGAAAUCCUAAUUGGGACAUAUGUUUCCAAGAAAAUAACUUUUGUCAGUGUGGUGUGUAACCUUGAUUUCACUAGGCAAGUCAGUUAAUAAGAACAAAUUCUUAUUUACAAUGAUGGCCUACCCUGGCUUAAUUGUGCUAACUAUUGUGUUAACUACUUAACUGUAAUAGAAUGCUUAAAAAGGCAGCUAAAAUGUUAAAUAUCAGUUAUCAGUAUCAGGUUUUUUGUCAAGUUAAAUCUCGGUAUCGCCAAAAAUGUCAUCAGUGCAUCACUAGUUAUAUUAAUUAUGUCAUUAUAAAUAACAGCUUUAUACCAACGUGUACAUGUUUUGUGAUCAUUAUAAAUUGAUCUGUUCAGAUGAUGAAUUUUGGAUCAUUUGUAUUUUGAAUGUGUAUUAGGUUACGAAUAAUAUGGUGUUUUGGGAUGUAGUAUUUGCAUAAUGCAUUCAUCUGUUAGAACAUUGUUACAUUUGAUUUUAUCAUUAAAUAUUCAUUCUGUGA
This is a long non-coding RNA of Salvelinus fontinalis (brook trout), 3017 nucleotides long. RefSeq lists it as uncharacterized. The transcript is spliced from 2 exons. Lineage: Eukaryota; Metazoa; Chordata; Actinopteri; Salmoniformes; Salmonidae. The record is from RefSeq and is a predicted model, not a curated record.